Molecule: ribosomal RNA, 465 nt
Filed under: uncultured bacterium
Lineage: Bacteria
Description: partial 16S ribosomal RNA
Rfam family: Bacterial small subunit ribosomal RNA
Source: RNAcentral
GACGAACGCUGGCGGCGUGCUUAACACAUGCAAGUCGAACGGAAAGGCCCCUUUGGGGGUACUCGAGUGGCGAACGGGGGGGUAACACGUGAGUAACCUGCCCUUGCCUUCGGGAUAACUUCAGGAAACGAGGGCUAAUACCGGUAAGGAAUCCUUGCUGCAUGGUGGGGGUUGGAAAGCUUCGGCGGGUUUGGAUGGACUCGCGGCAUAUCAGCUUGUUGGUGGGGUAGUGGCUUACCAAGGCUGUGAAGGGUAGCCGGCCUGCGCGGGCGACCGGCCACAUUGGGACUGAGAUACGGCCCCGACUCCGACGGGAGGCGGCAGUGGGGAAUAUUGCACAAUGGGCGGAAGCCUGAUGCAGCAAGGCCGCGUGCGGGAUGACGGCCUUCGGGUUGUAAACCGCUUUCAGCAGGGGCGAAGCUUGUGGUGACGGUACCUGCAGAAGAAGCACCGGCUAACUACGUG